GAUGAAGAACGCAGCGAAAUGCGAUAAGUAAUGUGAAUUGCAGAAUUCAGUGAAUCAUCGAAUCUUUGAACGCACAUUGCGCCCUCUGGUAUUCCGGGGGGCAUGCCUGUUCGAGCGUCAUUAUAACCACUCAAGCUCUCGCUUGGUAUUGGGGUUCGCGGUUUCGCGGCCCCUAAAAUCAGUGGCGGUGCCUGUCGGCUCUACGCGUAGUAAUACUUCUCGCGAUUGAGUUCGAUAGGUCUACUUGCCAGUAACCCCCAAUUUUUACAGGUUGACUUCGGAUCAGGUAGGGAUACCCGCUGAACUUAAGCAUAUCAAUAAGCGGAGGA
RNAcentral lists this unclassified non-coding RNA (329 nucleotides) under soil metagenome. Its description in RNAcentral is "partial contains 5.8S ribosomal RNA, internal transcribed spacer 2, and large subunit ribosomal RNA". The stretch from base 1 to 120 matches the Rfam family "5.8S ribosomal RNA", at positions 35 to 154 of the family's 154-position model. The record is from RNAcentral.